CCUACGGGAGGCAGCAGUGAGGAAUAUUGGUCAAUGGACGCAAGUCUGAACCAGCCAUGCCGCGUGCAGGAAGACGGCUCUAUGAGUUGUAAACUGCUUUUGUACGAGGGUAAACGCAGGUACGCGUACCUGUCUGAAAGUAUCGUACGAAUAAGGAUCGGCUAACUCCGUGCCAGCAGCCGCGGUAAUACGGAGGAUUCAAGCGUUAUCCGGAUUUAUUGGGUUGAAAGGGUGCGUAGGCGGUCGGAUAAGUUAGAGGUGAAAUCCCGAGGCUCAACUGCGGAAUUGCCUUUGAUACUGGUCGUCUAGAGAGUAGUUGCGGUAGGCGGAAUGCAUGGUGUAGCGGUGAAAUGCUUAGAGAUCAUACAGAACACCGAUUGCGAAGGCAGCUUACCAAGCUACUUCUGACGUUGAGGCACGAAAGCGUGGGGAGCAAACAGGAUUAGAUACCCUUGUAGUC
This 460-nucleotide ribosomal RNA is filed under the name uncultured bacterium. RNAcentral describes it as "partial 16S ribosomal RNA". It matches the Rfam family "Bacterial small subunit ribosomal RNA", at positions 338 to 795 of the family's 1533-position model. The record is from RNAcentral.